UUUAUCGCUAUGUGUAUAAUAACAUCGCUAAUUUCUCUUAUGAAUAAGGAUCGAAUAGUGAUGAUGUGAAAUUCUUGAUAUUCAUAUAUGUGAUUAAUAUUAUUUUGAAUGGCUAAGGAAUUAGGAUUUAAAAUUGAAUAUUAAUAGUUUCUGGCUAAGGAAUUAGGGGAAACUACUCUUGAGAAUAAUAUUGAAUCAUUCUAACAUAGAUGUUAUAAAAU
This 221-nucleotide long non-coding RNA is filed under the name Lathyrus oleraceus (garden pea). RNAcentral's name for it is "Pisum sativum (pea) long non-coding RNA (PSAT_LNC033492)". The record is from RNAcentral. Lineage: Eukaryota; Viridiplantae; Streptophyta; Magnoliopsida; Fabales; Fabaceae.